This is a transfer RNA of Rachicladosporium sp. CCFEE 5018, 96 nucleotides long. It matches the Rfam family "tRNA". Rfam says of the family: Transfer RNA (tRNA) molecules are approximately 80 nucleotides in length. Their secondary structure includes four short double-helical elements and three loops (D, anti-codon, and T loops). NCBI's taxonomy places the organism in Eukaryota, Fungi, Ascomycota, Dothideomycetes, Cladosporiales, Cladosporiaceae. The record is from Rfam.
GGACAGAUGGCCGAGCGGUUAAGGCGCUAGCUUAAGGUACCCCCUGGGUCUGUACGCUAGUUCGAAAGAGCGUGGGUUCGAUUCCCACUCUGUAUG